GGGGUUGUGGCUCAGUGGCAGAGCGCUCACCUCGUACGUGUGAGACCUUGGGUUCUAUCCUUAGCACCACA
This 71-nucleotide transfer RNA is filed under the name Marmota monax (woodchuck). RNAcentral describes it as "tRNA.Thr". It matches the Rfam family "tRNA". From Rfam's summary of the family: Transfer RNA (tRNA) molecules are approximately 80 nucleotides in length. Their secondary structure includes four short double-helical elements and three loops (D, anti-codon, and T loops). Lineage: Eukaryota; Metazoa; Chordata; Mammalia; Rodentia; Sciuridae. The record is from RNAcentral.